This 717-nucleotide ribosomal RNA is filed under the name Paenibacillus dendritiformis. RNAcentral's name for it is "bacterial SSU rRNA". It matches the Rfam family "Bacterial small subunit ribosomal RNA", at positions 29 to 744 of the family's 1533-position model. Lineage: Bacteria; Bacillati; Bacillota; Bacilli; Caryophanales; Paenibacillaceae. The record is from RNAcentral.
AUGACUCUUCCCGGCUGUGCUUCCUCCUUAAGUCGAGCGGAGUUGAUGGAGUGCUUGCACUCCUGAUGCUUAGCGGCGGACGGGUGAGUAAUACGUAGGUAACCUGCCCUUAUGACCGGGAUAACUCACGGAAACGUGGGCUAAUACCGGAUAGGCGAUUUCCUCGGAUGAGGGAAUCGGGAAAGGCGGAGCAGUCUGCCACUUAUGGAUGGACCUGCGGCGCAUUAGCUAGUUGGUGGGGUAACGGCUCACCAGGGCGACGAUGCGUAGCCGACCUGAGAGGGUGAUCGGCCACACUGGGACUGAGACACGGCCCACACUCCUACAGGAGGCAGCAGUAGGGAAUCUUCCGCAAUGGACGCAAGUCUGACGGAGCAACGCCGCGUGAGUGAUGAAUGGUUUUCGGAUCGUAAAGCUCUGUUGCGACGAUACACCGCUGUGGAGAGUAACUGUUCAAUAUUUGACCGUACCUGAAUAAGAAAGGCCCAGCUACUACGUGCCAGCAGUCGCAGUAAUACGUAGAGUGCAGGCUGUACUGAGUAUUGGCCGUUAUGCACGCGCAGGGUGUAAUGUCAGUCUUGAAUUUGAACCCUGGCUCAGCUCGAUGCUUAAGGAACCUGGAUGGCUGAGUGAUACCAGGAGGUGAAUUCCCGUGGAUGGGGAAUGCAACAGAGUGGGAGGAACCCUGGGCAAGCCAUUUCUUGGCUAAUGCCUGGA